AAAGGAAUUGACGGGGGUCCGCACAAGCGGAGGAGCAUGUGGUUUAAUUCGAUGAUACGCGAGGAACCUUACCUGGGCUUGAACGUGUGAUGCAAUACUGGGAAACUGGUAGUCCCUUCGGGGCGUCAUGCGAGGUGCUGCAUGGUUGUCGUCAGCUCGUGCCGUGAGGUGUUAGGUUAAGUCCUGUAACGAGCGCAACCCCUAUACUUAGUUACCAGCACGUAGCGGUGGGGACUCUAAGUAAACUGCCUGCGCAAGCAGAGAGGAAGGUGGGGAUGACGUCAAAUCAGCACGGCCCUUACGUCCAGGGCCACACACGUGCUACAAUGGCCGAUACAGAGGGCAGCUACCUGGUGACAGGAUGCGAAUCUCGAAAGUCGGUCUCAGUUCGGAUCGGAGUCUGCAACUCGACUCCGUGAAGUUGGAUUCGCUAGUAAUCGCGCAUCAGCCAUGGCGCGGUGAAUACGUUCCCGGGCCUUGCACACACCGCCCGU
RNAcentral lists this ribosomal RNA (494 nucleotides) under uncultured bacterium. RNAcentral's name for it is "bacterial SSU rRNA". It matches the Rfam family "Bacterial small subunit ribosomal RNA", at positions 903 to 1397 of the family's 1533-position model. The record is from RNAcentral.